UAUUGCUCUUCAACGAGGAAUCUAAGGAAGUACAAGUCACUAGCUUGUGCUGAUUACGUCCCUGCCCUUUGUACACACCGCCCGUCGCUACUACCGAUUGAAUGGCUUAGUGAGGCCUUCGGAUUGAGGCUCGGAGACUGGCCACAUCACGAGGAGAUUUUGAAAAGUUGGUCAAACUUGGUCAUUUAGAGGAAGUAAAAGUCGUAACAAGGUUUCCGUAGGUGAACCUGCGGAAGGAGCAUUACCAAUUUUUAGCGGACCUGAUCUUUGAUCAUGGUCUCGCGAAAACUUGUAUUUAAAACCCCACUCUUAUAAAUUGAAUCAUUUUAUACUAUGUAUAUAAUAAAAUAAAGAUCACUUUCAACAACGGAUCUCUUGGCUCUCGCAUCGAUGAAGAACGUAGCGUUUUUGUUUAUAAGUAAUGUGAAUUGCAGAAUUCCGUGAAUCAUCGAAUCUUUGAGCGGGGGAUGGGGACUCUCUGGCCCCCCGGGGAGUAUGCCUGUUUGAGGGUCAGUAUUAAUAAAAAUCGGUGCGUUGCAAAUUUUUGUGACGUUUCCGGAGUUUGAGUUAUCUUAACUUCGGUUUUAAGAGGCUUAAAAUUGACCUUUUUUUGUGCAUUUUAGACGUACAUAAAUCUUUUUUUAUUCGUCUAUCCUAAUGCCAAAAUCUAUUAGAUGCGACCAUAUCUUGUGGUUUCGUGUCUAUAAAUUUUUCAUAAUUUGACCUCAAAUCAGGUAGGGAUACCCGCUGAACUUAAGCAUAUCAAUAAGCGGGAGGAAAAGAAAAUAACAAUGAUUCCCCUAGUAACUGCGAGUGAAGAGGGACAAGCUCAAAUUUUAAAUCUGUCGGGUUUUACCUGAUCGAGUUGUAAUUUGAAGAAGCGUUUUUCUGCGUUAUUGGUUCAGCCAAGUUCCUUAUUGAUUGGAGGCAUCAUGGAAGGGUGAUAAAUUCCCGUCGGUUGGAUCAUUGCCGUUUUUAUGAUUACCGCCUUUCUAAAGAAGUUCAAAGGUUGUUGGAAUUGCCAGCUUAAAAUGGAGGGUUAACUUUCUUCUCUUAGCUUAAAUACGGGCGAGAAGAUCCGAAUAGCGCACCAGUAUCCGUG
RNAcentral lists this ribosomal RNA (1102 nucleotides) under uncultured Rhizophagus. RNAcentral describes it as "eukaryotic LSU rRNA". The stretch from base 1 to 244 matches the Rfam family "Eukaryotic small subunit ribosomal RNA", at positions 1591 to 1831 of the family's 1831-position model. Lineage: Eukaryota; Fungi; Glomeromycota; Glomeromycetes; Glomerales; Glomeraceae. The record is from RNAcentral.